GACGAACGCUGGCGGCGUGCUUAACACAUGCAAGUCGAGCGGUAAGGCCCUUUCGGGGGUACACGAGCGGCGAACGGGUGAGUAACACGUGGGUGACCUGCCCUCAGCUCUGGGGAUAAGCCUGGGAAACCGGGUCUAAUACUGGAUAUGACUCCAUGACGCAUGUUGUGGGGUGGAAAGCCUUGUGCGGCUGAGGAUGGGCCUGCGGCCUAUCAGCUUGUUAGUGGGGUGAUGGCCUACCAAGGCGACGGCGGGUAGCCGGCCUGAGAGGGCGACCGGCCACACUGGGACUGAGACACGGCCCAGACUCCUACGGGAGGCAGCGAGUGGGGAAUCUUGCGCAAUGGGCGAAAGCCUGACGCAGCGACGCCGCGUGAGGGAUGGACGGCCU
This 391-nucleotide ribosomal RNA is filed under the name uncultured bacterium. RNAcentral's name for it is "bacterial SSU rRNA". It matches the Rfam family "Bacterial small subunit ribosomal RNA", at positions 28 to 418 of the family's 1533-position model. The record is from RNAcentral.